AUUGAACGCUGGCGGCAGGCCUAACACAUGCAAGUCGAGCGGAUGAAGGGAGCUUGCUCCUGGAUUCAGCGGCGGACGGGUGAGUAAUGCCUAGGAAUCUGCCUGGUAGUGGGGGAUAACGUCCGGAAACGGGCGCUAAUACCGCAUACGUCCUGAGGUGGAAAGUGGGGGAUCUUCGGACCUCACGCUAUCAGAUGAGCCUAGGUCGGAUUAGCUAGUUGGUGGGGUAAAGGCCUACCAAGGCGACGACCCGUAACUGGUCUGAGAGGAUGAUCAGUCACACUGGAACUGAGACACGGUCCAGACUCCUACGGGAGGCAGCAGUGGGGAAUAUUGGAAAAUGGGCGAAAGCCUGAUCCAGCCAUGCCGCGUGUGUGAAGAAGGUCUUCGGAUUGUAAAGCACUUUAAGUUGGGAGGAAGGGCAGUAAGUUAAUACCUUGCUGUUUUGACGUUACCAACAGAAUAAGCACCGGCUAACUUCGUG
Molecule: ribosomal RNA, 484 nt
Filed under: uncultured bacterium
Lineage: Bacteria
Description: partial 16S ribosomal RNA
Rfam family: Bacterial small subunit ribosomal RNA
Source: RNAcentral